GCAGUAGGGNCAGGGUCGAGGGGCAUCGGGAGGGAAGCUUGCUUUCCUUGCCGGCGACCGGCGCACGGGUGAGUAACACGUAUGCAACCUGCCCUCUUCAGGGGGACAACCUUCCGAAAGGGAGGCUAAUCCCGCGUAUAUCGGUUUCGGGCAUCCGGGAUCGAGGAAAGAUUCAUCGGAAGAGGAUGGGCAUGCGGCGCAUUAGCUUGACGGCGGGGUAACGGCCCACCGUGGCGACGAUGCGUAGGGGUUCUGAGAGGAAGGUCCCCCACACUGGUACUGAGACACGGACCAGACUCCUACGGGAGGCAGCAGUGAGGAAUAUUGGUCAAUGGGAGAGAUCCUGAACCAGCCAAGCCGCGUGAGGGAAGACGGCCCUAUGGGUUGUAAACCUCUUUUGUCGGAGAACAAAACCCGGGACGUGUCCCGGACUGCGUGUAUCCGAAGAAAAAGCAUCGGCUAACUCCGUGCCAGCAGCCGCGGUAAUACGGAGGAUGCGAGCGUUAUCCGGAUUUAUUGGGUUUAAAGGGUGCGUAGGCGGUCCGUUAAGUCAGCGGUAAAAUUGCGGGGCUCAACCCCGUCGAGCCGUUGAAACUGGCAGACUUGAGUUGGCGAGAAGUACGCGGAAUGCGCGGUGUAGCGGUGAAAUGCAUAGAUAUCGCGCAGAACUCCGAUUGCGAAGGCAGCGUACCGGCGCCAGACUGACGCUGAGGCACGAAAGCGUGGGGAUCGAACAGGAUUAGAUACCCU
This 750-nucleotide ribosomal RNA is filed under the name uncultured bacterium. RNAcentral's name for it is "bacterial SSU rRNA". It matches the Rfam family "Bacterial small subunit ribosomal RNA", at positions 46 to 788 of the family's 1533-position model. The record is from RNAcentral.